GCUUUAUCCGCAGGUUAAACAACGGCUAACAAUGCUAACCAAGCAGUGAAUGCUGCCCUUUAUCAGCCAGACAAGAUGCUACAGGUAGAUUACAUAAAGCAAUCCAGCCAAUACCAGACUGGUAUUUGAAGCAAGUGGAAUUCCCAGUUCAUUGGUUGACCUUACGGGUCUGAGGGCUACAGGGGGUCAGUGCCGAGCGACGGGGGUCCUGCCGAGAGGGGUGGAGGCCUCUUCAUGGACCCAGCAUGCAGUUCCAUUCCCAGCACCACCUUCAGGCCUGUGGCCACUCCACAGGGGAGCAAAUUUGACUCCCGGCCCUCAUCUACUGGCCCAUGAAACAGAUGUGAUCAAGAACUUGCGAAUGCCUUGGUGGAAGAUUGAGGGAACGUCUCACAGCAAGAACUUACACAUCUGGUGCGGUCCAUGAGGAUGAGAUGUACUGUAGGACUUAAAGCAGCUGGAGGACACCAGAUACUGACUGUUACUUUUAAUAUUGACCCCCCCCUUGUUCAGGGACUCAUUCCAUUUCUGUU
This is a long non-coding RNA of Ictalurus punctatus (channel catfish), 533 nucleotides long. NCBI's taxonomy places the organism in Eukaryota, Metazoa, Chordata, Actinopteri, Siluriformes, Ictaluridae. The record is from Ensembl.